UUAUUAUUAGUAAUAAUAAGAGUAAAUGCUAUUUAAUUACGGGCGGCCGCAUCCUGCUCCCGGCGCCGCCGCCCCGGCAGCUCCGUCCAUGUGGCUCCGGAGCGCUUUACUUUCAUUUCCAGCCCCUUCGGCCGGCCGCUCGCGGCAGCACCCGCUGGAGGCACCGUCUCCCCGCAGCUCUUCCUCCUCGGGUCCUAGAGCGCGGCUUCCCUCGCCUGGCGCCCGGGGUGGGCGGCGCGGGCGGCGCACCUGGGGGCGGGGAAGUCCCCCUGCCCCGUGA
This 280-nucleotide long non-coding RNA is filed under the name Felis catus (domestic cat). Its description in RNAcentral is "lncRNA (ENSFCAG00000051988.1)". Lineage: Eukaryota; Metazoa; Chordata; Mammalia; Carnivora; Felidae. The record is from RNAcentral.